UUAUGAUACCCCGCUUUCUGCCCACCCAUUUCUUUGUUGGCUGAAUAUUCCUGAGGACUGUCUCUUUCCCACCAUCCGGGUUCCAUCCUUCCUUUCUCACGCUUAUGUGGUUAGACUGUGUUCAUCUCUAAAGUUUAUCAGUAUCGUGACCUCAAAGGCCAGCUUAGCUGUCGAACUGUCUGCUUCAGAGAGUGUCCUGCUCAGUGUGAGAUAGUAAGGGACAUCGCUGGCGCCUCUACUCAAAUGUCUGUUGGACCUCUUCUCUUGGUUUUGAUAUCCACACUUCUCUAUGAGGACCACGGGAGUGUUUGAGGCUUCAGUGACAUCUCAGGGCUUACGUCCUUCUCUACCUGGCAUGACCACCGAGAUGAAGGCACCAUUAAACCUCUCAGGCAAGCGGGUUGCAUCUUUGGAGCAGUUGCCUCUUAUCACGUAUAAAUCUGAUCUAUCUGCGGGGCGCCUAUAGACAUUCAAAUAAGACUUCUGAAGAUUCACACCAGAUGAAAAAGGCUCUUUUACUGGAGAAUUAUAAACCACUAAUCCCUUGCCAUCCAUCAAGUUC
Mus musculus (house mouse) is the source of this 562-nucleotide long non-coding RNA. RefSeq annotates it as predicted gene, 35481. The record is from RefSeq and is a predicted model, not a curated record. NCBI's taxonomy places the organism in Eukaryota, Metazoa, Chordata, Mammalia, Rodentia, Muridae. The transcript is spliced from 4 exons.